Molecule: ribosomal RNA, 253 nt
Filed under: uncultured bacterium
Lineage: Bacteria
Description: partial 16S ribosomal RNA
Rfam family: Bacterial small subunit ribosomal RNA
Source: RNAcentral
UACAGAGGUCUCAAGCGUUGUUCGGAUUCAUUGGGCGUAAAGGGCGCGUAGGCGGCGAGGUAAGUCUGGUGUGAAAUCUAGGAGCUCAACUCCUAAACUGCACUGGAUACUGCUUUGCUUGAGGACUGGAGAGGAGAUUGGAAUUCACGGUGUAGCAGUGAAAUGCGUAGAUAUCGUGAGGAAGACCAGUGGCGAAGGCGGAUCUCUGGACAGUUCCUGACGCUGAGGCGCGAAGGCCAGGGGAGCAAACGGG